Molecule: ribosomal RNA, 471 nt
Filed under: uncultured Bacteroidota bacterium
Lineage: Bacteria; Pseudomonadati; Bacteroidota
Description: bacterial SSU rRNA
Rfam family: Bacterial small subunit ribosomal RNA
Source: RNAcentral
AACGCUAGCGGCAGGCUUAACACAUGCAAGUCGAGGGGUAACAUAGAAAAGCUUGCUUUUCUGAUGACGACCGGCGCACGGGUGCGUAACGCGUAUACAAUCUGCCUUAUACUGGGGUAUAGCCUUUAGAAAUGAAGAUUAACCCCCCAUAGUCUCUUUAAAUGGCAUCAUUUUUAGAGUAAAGGUUACGGUAUAAGAUGAGUAUGCGUUCUAUUAGUUUGUUGGUGAGGUAACGGCUCACCAAGACUGCGAUAGAUAGGGGCCCUGAGAGGGGGAUCCCCCACACUGGUACUGAGACACGGACCAGACUCCUACGGGAGGCAGCAGUGAGGAAUAUUGGACAAUGGAGGCAACUCUGAUCCAGCCAUGCCGCGUGCAGGAAGACUGCCCUAUGGGUUGUAAACUGCUUUUAUACAGGAAGAAACCUUGGUACGUGUACCAAGCUGACGGUACUGUAAGAAUAAGGAUCGG